Molecule: ribosomal RNA, 492 nt
Filed under: uncultured bacterium
Lineage: Bacteria
Description: partial 16S ribosomal RNA
Rfam family: Bacterial small subunit ribosomal RNA
Source: RNAcentral
AGUGAACGCUGGCGGUAGGCCUAACACAUGCAAGUCGAACGGCAGCACAGUAAGAGCUUGCUCUUACGGGUGGCGAGUGGCGGACGGGUGAGGAAUACAUCGGAAUCUACUUUUUCGUGGGGGAUAACGUAGGGAAACUUACGCUAAUACCGCAUACGACCUACGGGUGAAAGCAGGGGAUCUUCGGACCUUGCGCGAUUGAAUGAGCCGAUGUCGGAUUAGCUAGUUGGCGGGGUAAAGGCCCACCAAGGCGACGAUCCGUAGCUGGUCUGAGAGGAUGAUCAGCCCACAUGGAACUGAGACCCGGUCCAGACUCCUAAGGGAGGCAGCAGUGGGGAAUAUUGGACCAUGGGGGCCAGCCUGAUCCAGCCAUACCGCGUGGGUGAAGAAGGCCUUUGGGUUGUAAAGCCCUUUUGUUGGGAAAGAAAAGGCGCAGGUUAAUAACCCGCUGUUCUGACGGUACCCAAAGAAUAAGCACCGGCUAACUUCGUG